GCCCGCUCAGAAACUCAAAGGAAGUUGACGGGGCCCGGCGACAAGCGGUGGAGUAUGUGGUUUAAUUCGAUGCAACGCGAAGAACCUUACCUGGUCUUGACAUCCCGGAGACCCUUAGGAAACUAGGGGUGCUUCCAUCUGGAAGAAUCUGGAGACAGGUGCUGCAUGGCUGUCGUCAGCUCGUGUCGUGAGAUGUUGGGUUAAGUCCCGCAACGAGCGCAACCCUUGCCUUUAGUUACCAGCAGUUCGGCUGGGCACUCUAAAGGGACUGCCGGUGUUAAACCGGAGGAAGGUGGGGAUGACGUCAAGUCCUCAUGGCCUUUAUGACCAGGGCUACACACGUACUACAAUGGCCGAUACAAAGGGCAGCGACACUGCGAGGUGAAGCCAAUCCCGUAAAAUCGGUCUCAGUCCGGAUUGGAGUCUGCAACUCGACUCCAUGAAGUUGGAAUCGCUAGUAAUCGUGGAUCAGCAUGCCACGGUGAAUACGUUCCCGGGCCUU
RNAcentral lists this ribosomal RNA (502 nucleotides) under uncultured Desulfobulbus sp. Its description in RNAcentral is "bacterial SSU rRNA". It matches the Rfam family "Bacterial small subunit ribosomal RNA", at positions 887 to 1382 of the family's 1533-position model. The record is from RNAcentral. Lineage: Bacteria; Pseudomonadati; Thermodesulfobacteriota; Desulfobulbia; Desulfobulbales; Desulfobulbaceae.